This 639-nucleotide ribosomal RNA is filed under the name uncultured bacterium. RNAcentral describes it as "bacterial SSU rRNA". It matches the Rfam family "Bacterial small subunit ribosomal RNA", at positions 232 to 885 of the family's 1533-position model. The record is from RNAcentral.
CGCGGCCUAUCAGCUUGUUGGCGGGGUAACGGCCCACCAAGGCUAAGACGGGUAGCUGGUCUGAGAGGACGAUCAGCCACACUGGGACUGAGACACGGCCCAGACUCCUACGGGAGGCAGCAGUGGGGAAUCUUGCGCAAUGGGCGUAAGCCUGACGCAGCAACGCCGCGUGGGGGAUGAAGGCCUUCGGGUUGUAAACCCCUUUCAGCAGGGACGAAAAUGACGGUACCUGCAGAAGAAGCUCCGGCCAACUACGUGCCAGCAGCCGCGGUAAUACGUAGGGGGCAAGCGUUGUCCGGAUUCAUUGGGCGUAAAGAGCUCGUAGGCGGUUCAGUAAGUUGGGUGUGAAAGCUCCGGGCUCAACCCGGAGAGGCCACUCAAUACUGCUGUGACUAGAGUCCAGUAGAGGAGCGUGGGACUCCUGGUGUAGCGGUGAAAUGCGCAGAUAUCAGGAAGAACACCGGCAGCGAAGGCGGCGCCCUGGGCUGGUACUGACGCUGAGGAGCGAAAGCAUGGGUAGCAAACAGGAUUAGAUACCCUGGUAGUCCAUGCCGUAAACGUUGGGCACUAGGUGUGGGGAGGAAUCAACCCUCUCCGUGCCGUAGCUAACGCAUUAAGUGCCCCGCCUGGGGAGUACGG